CCUACGGGAGGCAGCAGUGAGGAAUAUUGGUCAAUGGCCGGAAGGCUGAACCAGCCAUGCCGCGUGAAGGACAGUGCCCUAUGGGCGUUAAACUUCUUUUGUGCGGGAGCAAUAAUGGUCACGUGUGGCCAGACGAGAGUACCGUACGAAUAAGCAUCGGCUAACUCCGUGCCAGCAGCCGCGGUAAUACGUAGGUGGCAAGCGUUGUCCGGAUUUACUGGGGGUAAAGGGCGUGCAGACGGGAAGACAAGUCUGAUGUGAAAGCCCGCGGCUCAACCGCGGAACUGCAGUUGAAACUGUUUUUCUUGAGUACCGGAGAGGUCAGCGGAAUUCCUGGUGUAGCGGUGAAAUGCGUAGAUAUAAGGAAGAACACCAGUGGCGAAGGCGGAUGACUGGACGGCAACUGACGGUGAGGCGCGAAAGCGUGGGGAGCAAACAGGAUUAGAUACCCGGGUAGUC
RNAcentral lists this ribosomal RNA (459 nucleotides) under uncultured bacterium. RNAcentral's name for it is "partial 16S ribosomal RNA". It matches the Rfam family "Bacterial small subunit ribosomal RNA", at positions 338 to 795 of the family's 1533-position model. The record is from RNAcentral.